Molecule: RNase P RNA, 383 nt
Filed under: Rhodocyclaceae bacterium
Lineage: Bacteria; Pseudomonadati; Pseudomonadota; Betaproteobacteria; Rhodocyclales; Rhodocyclaceae
Description: RNase P RNA component class A
Rfam family: Bacterial RNase P class A
About the family: Ribonuclease P (RNase P) is a ubiquitous endoribonuclease, found in archaea, bacteria and eukarya as well as chloroplasts and mitochondria. Its best characterised activity is the generation of mature 5'-ends of tRNAs by cleaving the 5'-leader elements of precursor-tRNAs.
Source: RNAcentral
GAAGUUCGCUAGGCAGUCGCUGGAUGUCGUUGCAAGACGAUGUCUGGAGGAAAGUCCGGGCCCCGUAGAGCGAGAUGCCGGUUAACGGCCGGGCGCAGCAAGUUGAUUAGCGCAAGCUGAUUGACCCAAGGCGACAGACAGUGCAACAGAAAGAUACCGCCUAAGUCCGCGAGGACUGGCAAGGGUGAAAUGGUGGGGUAAGAGCCCACCGCGUUUCUGGCAACAGAAAUGGCAUGGCAAACCUCAUCUGGGGCAAGGCCAAAUAGGGGAGCGCUAACGUGGCUCGCGUUGCUCCCGGGUAGGCUGCUAGAGGUCGCUGGUAACAGCGAUCCCAGAGGAAUGACUGCUCACGACAGAACCCGGCUUAUCGGCGAACUUCCCAC